This 179-nucleotide small RNA is filed under the name Verrucomicrobiota bacterium. Its description in RNAcentral is "Verrucomicrobia bacterium (groundwater metagenome) 6S RNA". The record is from RNAcentral. Lineage: Bacteria; Pseudomonadati; Verrucomicrobiota.
AAUACCCUGCCGUUCGCGUGAUGCAACGGUGAAUCUCUGACCCGAUAACCUUCAUCUGAAGGGCCGAUCUCCGGCGGUGGACGACAUGCCUUCACAGGAAGCCGGCAAGCCGUCGGGUAGGCGCUCCGUUUAAUUACGGGGUCUGGAGAAUACGUUCACACGGCUCUGGUGGGGUAUUU